CCUAGCCUAGGCUCAGCAACCAGGACAAACCCAAAGAUCAACCAGGAGCUCCUUCUCAAAGGUGGAGCCCGGCUCUUUGUCACAGGCAGCACCAGGACACAGCUGGCUUUAGCUGCACCCAGCUCGUGUGUGUGUGUGUGUGUGUGUGUGUGUGUGUGUGUGUGUGUGUGUGAAGCCAUACCCGCCCCUUCCCCCCUUAUUGAGGUGUCUCAAGGAACCCACUGAACCACCCAGCCAGCCUUACUGUAUGUGUUUCCUGAGCUCAGAAAGUCAUGCCUUUGUAUCAAGCACUUUACCCACUGAACUCCCCCACCCCCACCCCUUUGCCUCUAGCUUUCCUUGGGAGGGUGGAGGACUUGGGAGGAAGAGGCGGGACAUGAAGCCCUCUCCACCAAUGGGAUCUUUUCUGUCAAAAAAAUGCAAGCACCUGCAAAUUUGUUGCAGCCAGCAAUUUACCUUUUCUGCAAGCAAGAGGGAUCUGCUCUUGUUUCUGAGUCACUGGGUUGUGGUGGUGGUGGGGAUCAGGGAAGGAGACAUCUGUGGUUUGGGAAGGAGGUGGGGGAGGCUCAGCAGCAGGCUGGUGAACAAGGCCUUGGAGAGGGUUCAGGGUGAGGUCUCACUCCAUUCAACCAGAGGCAAUGGUUUUUGUUGGCUGGAGCUCGGGGGCUUUAUUAAUAGCCACUUCAACAUCCUUUUUGAUCUAACAAACAUUUCUUAAGUAAAUAAAUGUGGAAACAGCUUGACUUGCCGCAGAAUCCUAAACUGGAAGUUAGGGCUGUGUAUAGAGAGAAAACAAAAAAAAGCACUGGGGAAAUCUUAGGUCAAGGAUAUUGGGGGCGGGACCGGAAACGAACAUGGCGCUGCAUGUAAACGGUUUGCCUUACAAACCUGAGUUCAAUCCUUGGAGGCCCUGUAAUCGUAGAAGGAGAAAAGUGAUCAGCACAGAGUUGUCCUCAGACCUCCACAGGAGGGCGAUGUACACGCGCGCGCGCGUGCGCGCGCGCGCGCGCGCACACACACACACACACACACACACACACACACACACACACAGGGGGGGGGGAAUGAUGAGGCAAAGAUUUGGUAUCAUCUCCAUUGUGUGGGGCUCAGAAAGGUGUCUGCGAGUAACGUCACUAUUUCGUCUUCUAGGGAGGACACCGCCCCCACGGUGUCUGCUUCAUAAAUUAGAGAAUAUAGAACAAGCGACUGGGCUGUGUGGACCCCAAAUACACUGACCUGAAACAAGAGGAAAGUUCAAGCUCCCUCUCACAGGACGGUCCAGAAGGGUGUGGUGCAAGGCUGGAAGGUAGAACUUCAACAGCCUCCACAUCCAGCAUCCAGCCUGGCUGCAAAGGAGCCUGUGGCAGCCACAGGAAGUGAGAGUCAUGGAGAUGGAGAGACAUGCUCUGUACUUGUACCCCCAGCCUGGGGAAUGGUGUCGGCCACUUUUAAGACGGCAUGGAAUGUUUGGACACCAGGGAAGAGGGAGAACUACCCAGAAGGCAGAGCUGACUGUGGGAGUUUGGAGGAAAGCUGUACUGGCCCAAGGGAGACUCAAAACCAUGGAGCUGCAGGCAGGCAUCUACUGUUGCUCCACAAGAAAGGAUAGCGAAAGAUGUAGUUUCCGAACUGAGGAUUAAACUCAAGACCGAGCACGUGCUAGGUCAGGCCACACACCCUUGCUUACUGGGUAGCUACGGUGACCUGCACAAGACCCUUACAAAAUCAAGCCAACAUGAACAACCAACAUUCCAUCAGGCUGCAUGGACUGCACUCAGUCUGUUAACAACAAAAGCAAAAACAAAAACAAAAACAAAAAAAGAAAAAGAAAGAAGAAGAGGCUGUGGGUGUGG
Mus musculus (house mouse) is the source of this 1853-nucleotide long non-coding RNA. RefSeq annotates it as predicted gene, 32549. The record is from RefSeq and is a predicted model, not a curated record. Lineage: Eukaryota; Metazoa; Chordata; Mammalia; Rodentia; Muridae. The transcript is spliced from 4 exons.